AAUGAACGCUGGUGGCAGACCUAACACAUGCAAGUCGAACGGUCUAUAUUAAACUUCGGUUUUUUAUAGAUAGUGGCAAACGGGUGAGUAAAGCAUGGGAAUCUACCUAGAAGUUUGGAAUAGCUAUUAGAAAUGAUAGAUAAUACCAAAUACACCUCGAGAGGGAAAGUUGACUUCGGUCUUCGCUUUUAGAUGAGCCCAUGUUAAAUUAGUUAGUUGGUAGGGUAAUGGCCUACCAAGAUGAUGAUUUAUAGCUGGUCUUAGAGGAUGAUCAGCCACACUGGAAUUGAGAUACGGUCCAGACUCCUACGGGAGGCAGCAGUGGGGAAUAUUGCACAAUGGAGGAAACUCUGAUGCAGCCAUGCCGCGUGAGUGAUGACGGUCUUAGGAUUGUAAAGCUCUUUCAGUGGUGAUGAUAAUGACAGUAGCCACAGAAGAAGCCCCGG
Molecule: ribosomal RNA, 446 nt
Filed under: uncultured bacterium
Lineage: Bacteria
Description: bacterial SSU rRNA
Rfam family: Bacterial small subunit ribosomal RNA
Source: RNAcentral